RNAcentral lists this ribosomal RNA (253 nucleotides) under uncultured bacterium. RNAcentral's name for it is "partial 16S ribosomal RNA". It matches the Rfam family "Bacterial small subunit ribosomal RNA", at positions 524 to 776 of the family's 1533-position model. The record is from RNAcentral.
UACGUAGGUGGCAAGCGUUGUCCGGAUUUACUGGGCGUAAAGAGCGCGCAGGCGGUUGAUUAAGUCGAAUGUGAAAGCCCCCGGCUCAACUGGGGAGGGUCAUUCGAUACUGAUCGACUUGAAGGCAGGAGAGGGUAGUGGAAUUCCCGGUGUAGUGGUGAAAUGCGUAGAUAUCGGGAGGAACACCAGUGGCGAAGGCGACUACCUGGCCUGUUCUUGACGCUGAGGCGCGAAAGCGUGGGGAGCGAACAGG